Molecule: ribosomal RNA, 433 nt
Filed under: uncultured bacterium
Lineage: Bacteria
Description: partial 16S ribosomal RNA
Rfam family: Bacterial small subunit ribosomal RNA
Source: RNAcentral
AACGAACGCUGGCGGCAUGCCUAACACAUGCAAGUCGAGCGAGACCUUCGGGUCUAGUGGCGCACGGGUGCGUAACGCGUGGGAACCUGCCCUUAGGUUCGGAAUAACUUCCCGAAAGGGGUGCUAAUACCGGAUAAUGUCUUCGGACCAAAGUUUUAUCGCCUUUGGAUGGGCCCGCGUGGGAUUAGCUAGUUGGUAGGGUAAAAGCCUACCAAGGCGACGAUCCAUAGCUGGUCUGAGAGGAUGAUCAGCCACACUGGGACUGAGACACGGCCCAGACUCCUACGGGAGGCAGCAGUGGGGAAUAUUGGACAAUGGGCGAAAGCCUGAUCCAGCAAUGCCGCGUGAGUGAUGAAGGCCUUAGGGUUGUAAAGCUCUUUUACCCGGGAUGAUAAUGACAGUACCGGGAGAAUAAGCUCCGGCUAACUCCGUG